UGCCAGCCGCAGCGGUAAUAUGGAGGGGCUUAGCGUGGUUCGGAAUUACUGGGCGUAAAGCGCACGUAGGCGGACUGGAAAGUUGGGGGUGAAAUCCCAGGGCUCAACCUGGGAUGGUCAUUUAGAACUGGCAGACUAGAGUCUUGGAGAGGGGAGUGGAAUUCCAGGUGUAGCGGUGAAAUGCGUAGAUAUCUGGAGGAACAUCAGUGGCGAAGGCGGCUCCCUGGCCAAAGACUGACGCUCAUGUGCGAAAGUGUGGGUAGCGAACAGGAUUAGAUA
Molecule: ribosomal RNA, 279 nt
Filed under: uncultured bacterium
Lineage: Bacteria
Description: partial 16S ribosomal RNA
Rfam family: Bacterial small subunit ribosomal RNA
Source: RNAcentral